UGACAUUGGACCUCGCCCAGAAAAAAAGACUUACACUGAAACUUGAUGUGCUUCAAAAUAGAAGAUGUCAACUGUCUUGGCAGGCAGCCCAGUACAUUAAGUUCUAUGCCAGUCAAACACAUGAGAUGUACUGGGGAGUGUGUUAACUAUUUUAAACUCUGCUCAAUGUGAGGGCGGUGGUGUUCGUGGGUUGGAGGUACAAUUCCUCACGUCUGGAGUUCCCCUACUCCGUCCUGGUACAGAGCGUGAAAGAGGUCAUUUGGAAUGGAUUACCUCUGCUGGGGUUAACUCUCUUUACGUUUGCAACUGCUUCCUGGCACCUUCCCAAGAGACACAAGAUAUUCUGCAGUUGCUGGAAUCUGGAGCAACACACACAAAAAGUGCUGGAGGAACUCAACAGGUCUGGCAGCAUCUAAGGAGGGAAAUAAACAGUCGACAUUUCAGGUCGAGACCCUUCAUCAGGACAUCAGGAUUUCUAUUUGUUCAGUGAUAUGGUUCAGUCAUGAAGAAAAGAAAGAAAUCAAACACUAGGAUUGCCUGCCUUUUGGAGUUUUUUCAUCUUAUACUUUGCCAAGAAAACCCAAAGGAAAAUAUUUUCAUGAAGAGGAUAUGUGGAAGUUUUCUACAAUUAGAACAGGAUAUCAUCACUACCUGGCACUUAUGUGGAGUGAACGUUACUUGCCACCUAUCAGCCCAGACUUCCUACAGAGUCAAAAUCUCCAGCUAGUGAUAAAUGGGUUAAAUUUAUAGAACAUCUUUUGGACAACACAUCAAUAUUUA
Pristis pectinata (smalltooth sawfish) is the source of this 780-nucleotide long non-coding RNA. RefSeq lists it as uncharacterized. The transcript has 5 exons. The record is from RefSeq and is a predicted model, not a curated record. NCBI's taxonomy places the organism in Eukaryota, Metazoa, Chordata, Chondrichthyes, Rhinopristiformes, Pristidae.